Molecule: ribosomal RNA, 406 nt
Filed under: uncultured bacterium
Lineage: Bacteria
Description: partial 16S ribosomal RNA
Rfam family: Bacterial small subunit ribosomal RNA
Source: RNAcentral
AUUGAACGCUGGCGGCAGGCCUAACACAUGCAAGUCGAACGAGUGGCGGACGGGUGAGUAAUGUCUGGGAAACUGCCAGCUGGAGGGGGAGAACUACUGGAAACGGUAGCUAAUAAGGCCUACCGCUGGAGGUGCCCAGAUGGGAUUAGCGAGUGGGUGGGGUAACGGCUCACCUAGGCGACGAGCCCUAGCUGUUCUGAGAGGAUGACCAGCCACACUGGGACUGAGACACGGGCCAGACUCCUACGGGAGGCAGCAGUGGGGAAUAUUGCACAAUGGGCGAAAGCCUGAUGCAGCCAUGCCGCGUGUAUGAAGAAGGCCUUCGGGUUGUAAAGUACUUUACGCGGGGAGGCGUUACUCGCAGAAGAAGCACCGGCUAACUACGUGCCAGCAGCCGCGGUAAUAC